GUAGGUUGCUUUUGAGAGUCUGACAAAGGAAGUAAAACCCUACCUGCACAAGAAGCACUCCAUAGAGUUGACUAUGGUAUUUGUUAGAUGAUUCUGACUUUAUGGGAAGCCUCAGUCACACAUGGAAGUUAACUCGAGUCACAGAGUGGUCCCUGUGCAGCUGGCCCAGGCGGCCAUGGAGAUACAGGCUGAAGUACCUUACCUGUCAUGGAGAACACAGAGACAGCUGAGACUGGUAAUAAAGAAGGACUGCUAUGGGUGAGAUAUUGGAUCUUGCAGAGUGUGAGCCCAUAAUAAUGGUAAGUGAAUGCUUUGUAGGGUAAGCACACUCCACGAGGAGAGAGAAAUGGACUGUAUCUCCUUUGGUCCAGGUACACACAGAAAUUCUCAAAUUCAUCAUUUGGAAACAACUUUCUAUUUCUCAUAGUUGCUACCCAAUUGUCAUUAAUGUUAUUAGUUGUGAUUAUCAGAGUCUCUUUAUUGGAGGUAUUUCCCUUUCUCAACACCCUAUCCUUCAACCCCAGA
RNAcentral lists this long non-coding RNA (525 nucleotides) under Fukomys damarensis (Damara mole-rat). Its description in RNAcentral is "lncRNA (ENSFDAG00000032095.1)". Lineage: Eukaryota; Metazoa; Chordata; Mammalia; Rodentia; Bathyergidae. The record is from RNAcentral.